CCUACGGGUGGCUGCAGUGGGGAAUAUUGGGCAAUGGGCGCAAGCCUGACCCAGCAACGCCGCGUGAAGGAAGAAGGCUUUCGGGCUGUAAACUUCUUUUAAGAGGGAAGAGCAGAAGACGGUACCUCUUGAAUAAGCCACGGCUAACUACGUGCCAGCAGCCGCGGUAUUACGUCGGUGGCAAGCGUUGUCCGGAUUUACUGGGUGUAAAGGGCGUGUAGCCGGGCUGACAAGUCAGAUGUGAAAUUCCGGGCCUCAACCCCGGACCUGCAUUUGAAACUGUUGGUCUUGAGUAUCGGAGAGGCAGGCGGAAUGCCUAGUGUAGCGGUGAAAUGCGUAGAUAUUAGGAGGAACACCAGUGGCGAAGGCGGCCUGCUGGACGACAACUGACGGUGAGGCGCGAAAGCGUGGGGAGCAAACAGGAUUAGAUACCCUUGUAGUC
RNAcentral lists this ribosomal RNA (442 nucleotides) under uncultured bacterium. Its description in RNAcentral is "partial 16S ribosomal RNA". It matches the Rfam family "Bacterial small subunit ribosomal RNA", at positions 338 to 795 of the family's 1533-position model. The record is from RNAcentral.